Molecule: ribosomal RNA, 460 nt
Filed under: uncultured bacterium
Lineage: Bacteria
Description: partial 16S ribosomal RNA
Rfam family: Bacterial small subunit ribosomal RNA
Source: RNAcentral
CCUACGGGAGGCAGCAGUGAGGAAUAUUGGUCAAUGGCCGGAAGGCUGAACCAGCCAUGCCGCGUGAAGGUCAGUGCACUAUGGGCGUUAAACUUCUUUUGUGCGGGAGCAAUAAUGGUCACGUGUGGCCAGACGCGAGUACCGUACGAAUAAGCAUCGGCUAGCUCAGUGCCAGCAGCCGAGGUAAUACUGGGGAUGCAAGCGUUAUCCGGAUUUAUUGGGUGUAAAGGGUGCGGAAGCGGGGAGGUAAGUCAGCGGGGAAAUGCCCCCGCUCAACGGGGUGAAGUGCCAUUGAUACUGCCGUGCUGGAAUGCAGAUGCGGUAGGAGGAAUGUGUGGUGUAGCGGUGAAAUGCAUAGAUAUCAGGAGGAACACCGGUGGCGAAGGCGGCCUGCUGGACUGCAACUGACGUUGAGGCCCGAAAGCGUGGGGAGCAAACAGGAUUAGAUACCCGUGUAGUC